GGGCCAGUAGCUCAGUCGGUUAGAGUACAUCCCUGAUAAGGAUGGGGUCGGUGGUUCGAAUCCACCCUGGCCCACCA
RNAcentral lists this transfer RNA (77 nucleotides) under SAR324 cluster bacterium. RNAcentral describes it as "tRNA-Ile". It matches the Rfam family "tRNA". Rfam says of the family: Transfer RNA (tRNA) molecules are approximately 80 nucleotides in length. Their secondary structure includes four short double-helical elements and three loops (D, anti-codon, and T loops). Further hydrogen bonds mediate the characteristic L-shaped molecular structure. tRNAs have two regions of fundamental functional importance: the anti-codon, which is responsible for specific mRNA codon recognition, and the 3' end, to which the tRNAs corresponding amino acid is attached (by aminoacyl-tRNA synthetases). tRNAs cope with the degeneracy of the genetic code in two manners: having more than one tRNA (with a specific anti-codon) for a particular amino acid; and 'wobble' base-pairing, i.e. permitting non-standard base-pairing at the 3rd anti-codon position. Lineage: Bacteria; Deltaproteobacteria. The record is from RNAcentral.